RNAcentral lists this ribosomal RNA (482 nucleotides) under uncultured bacterium. RNAcentral describes it as "partial 16S ribosomal RNA". It matches the Rfam family "Bacterial small subunit ribosomal RNA", at positions 30 to 507 of the family's 1533-position model. The record is from RNAcentral.
AUUGAACGCUGGCGGCAUGCUUUACACAUGCAAGUCGAACGGUAACAGCACUUCGGUGGCUGACGAGUGGCGAACGGGUGAGUAAUACAUCGGAACGUGCCUAGUAGUGGGGGAUAACUACUCGAAAGAGUAGCUAAUACCGCAUGAGAUCUAAGGAUGAAAGCAGGGGACCUUCGGGCCUUGCGCUACUAGAGCGGCUGAUGGCAGAGGAGGUUGUUGGUGGGAUAAAAGCUUACCAAGCCGACGAUCUGUAGCUGGUGUGAGAGGACGACCAGCCACACUGGGACUGAGCCACGGACCAGACUCCUACGGGAGGCAGCAGUGGGGAAUGUUGGACAAUGGGCGCAAGCCUGAUCCAGCAAUGCCGCGUGCAGGAUGAAGGCCUUCGGGUUGUAAACUGCUUUUGUACGGAACGAAAAGCCCUCUUCUAAUACAGGAGGGUCAUGACGGUACCGUAAGAAUAAGCACCGGCUAACUACGUG